CAAACUCCCAAUCAUGAUUAUGGACAAACUCCCACUUUUUAUGCAUAGUUAAAACUCCCAUCCAAACAAAACGAACCCACCAAAAAAAAAAGAAUGGUGAAACACUCCAAAACCCUAAACAGAACAUUUUCGAUUCCAAUGGAGGAGACACAGCGAUGCCGCAUCUCCAACUCAUUCCGCCACCGCCGACUUACCCGCAUCUGAGCCUACAUCAACGCGCCACCGUGCCAGAGCUCUGAAGCCCAAGGCCAGCUCCCUCUCAUUAUGGCGCGUCAUAUCCGCGCGGCGUCGCUACUGCGUCGUCUUUUCCAGCAGGUUUUGCCACUUUUUCUGCUUUUGCUCCGGCGGAUGUGAAGCACUCGGAGCAUGGUUUGGGCGUAGACUCAGUGCCGAUGGCUGAGGAGAUCUGAGAGAAGAGCGAAACCGAGAGAUUCAGAGAGGAGAGACAGCUCGCAUUGCCAUCGCCACUGCCGUCGCCAUUGCGGUUUAUCGCCUCUCCAGAUCUGGUUGCAACGCCCAAGCCUCUGAGGAUGUUCCGUUACGACCUCUUCGACGAGACGCAGAACAAGCUCGAUUACAUCCUCUCUCUCACUGUCGAGAACUUGCUCGGGCGCCGCCUCCAUACUCUCGUCUUCAAGUCUGGUAUAGCCAAGUCCAUUCACCAGCGCUACAUUAGAAUCUAACUUCCUAAACAUUCAAAUAGCUCAAAAUUAAAGCCACAGAGGAGGUUGAUUAAGCUGGAGGCUUUGGAGAAAGUCAUCCAUGAAAGAAUAGAUGCUCCCAGAGCACCUAGGCAGUGGUGGUUUGGCAAGGGGACUGACUUGACUCCUUCUUACAUUUUCGAGGAUGAUGUUAAACACUUCCAUUCGGUUAAACUUAAAGAACUUGAAGCUGGUCUGCUUGAGAAUAAGGCAAAUAAUUAGAAGUUGCAACACACCUACAACGAGCUGGUAGAAUAUAAGCUUGUUUUGGAGAAGGUAAGGUUUGCUAAGUACAACAAUAAUAGCUACAAAUUGCCAUCACCAAAUUCGAUAGGUUCUUCUAUUUUUGAAUUAUAUGCAGAUUGUAAGUAUAGAUGGAAACAUUAUGCUUAGGCUCAACAGAGCAAUGGGUUGCUUCUUCGCGUGUUUCAGGAACAACGAUAACCAUUGUUGCCGCAUCACCUGACCGCCAACUCUUCUAG
Molecule: RNA transcript, 1183 nt
Organism: Arachis duranensis
Lineage: Eukaryota; Viridiplantae; Streptophyta; Magnoliopsida; Fabales; Fabaceae
Exons: 4
Source: RefSeq, a predicted model, not a curated record